Molecule: ribosomal RNA, 253 nt
Filed under: uncultured bacterium
Lineage: Bacteria
Description: partial 16S ribosomal RNA
Rfam family: Bacterial small subunit ribosomal RNA
Source: RNAcentral
UACGAAGGGGGCUAGCGUUGUUCGGAAUCACUGGGCGUAAAGCGCACGUAGGCGGAUUGUUAAGUCGGGGGUGAAAUCCUAAGGCUCAACCUCAGAACUGCCUCCGAUACUGGCAAUCUCGAGUUCGGAAGAGGUUGGUGGAACAGCUAGUGUAGAGGUGAAAUUCGUAGAUAUUAGCUAGAACACCAGUGGCGAAGGCGGCCAACUGGUCCGAUACUGACGCUGAGGUGCGAAAGCGUGGGGAGCAAACAGG